UACUCGAGUGGCGAACGGGUGAGUAACACGUGGGUGAUCUGCCCUGCACUUCGGGAUAAGCCUGGGAAACUGGGUCUAAUACCGGAUAGGACGAUGGUUUGGAUGCCAUUGUGGAAAGUUUUUCGGUGUGGGAUGAGCUCGCGGCCUAUCAGCUUGUUGGUGGGGUAAUGGCCUACCAAGGCGUCGACGGGUAGCCGGCCUGAGAGGGUGUACGGCCACAUUGGGACUGAGAUACGCCCAAG
Molecule: ribosomal RNA, 242 nt
Filed under: uncultured Actinomycetales bacterium
Lineage: Bacteria; Bacillati; Actinomycetota; Actinomycetes; Actinomycetales
Description: partial 16S ribosomal RNA
Rfam family: Bacterial small subunit ribosomal RNA
Source: RNAcentral